Perca fluviatilis (European perch) is the source of this 369-nucleotide long non-coding RNA. RefSeq lists it as uncharacterized. The transcript is spliced from 3 exons. The record is from RefSeq and is a predicted model, not a curated record. Lineage: Eukaryota; Metazoa; Chordata; Actinopteri; Perciformes; Percidae.
CUUAAAAACACGAGCUGCCAUGUGUUCACGGUUCUACUGGUAUGGCAUGACAGUGGACAUUGACAAAUGGAUAUCUGAAUGUGACCAAUGUCAACGGGUGGGACCACCCCUGAAUGCAGUUAAAACUCUGGACUGCAUCAAGGUAUCUGCUGUUUGGGAGCUCAUCGGAAUUGAUCUCACUGGUCCACUCCAAAAAACAUCUACUGGGUAUCAGUAUAUAUUGACAGUCACUGACUAUUUUUCCAAGUGGGUGGAGGCCUUUCCUCAAAAGACAAAGUCUGCAUUGGAAGUAGCCAAAAACCUUUGUACAGUCAUUUAUAGACAUGGCUGCCCUAAGCGCAUACUGUCAGACCAAGGACGGGAGUUUGU